Molecule: long non-coding RNA, 1301 nt
Organism: Mauremys reevesii (Reeves's turtle)
Lineage: Eukaryota; Metazoa; Chordata; Testudines; Geoemydidae
Exons: 4
Source: RefSeq, a predicted model, not a curated record
UGGGUAAGAGUGGGUAACUCUAUAUAAAGUGGCCUGUGGCUCAGUCAAAAAAGAAUGGCAGGGAGCUGGAGUUGCUGAGAGAGCAUAGGAGAGGGGUGUUCUCUCUAGACAGUGGGAGGGGUAGCUAGGAGGGAAGCAAAGGAGGAUAAGCUGUACAAGUCCCACAGGGACAGGCUAUAACAGUGAAGGAAGAGGCCUGGGGACCACAGUAAUGGUGAGGGUUUGAAGCCUGGUGUUAGCACCUGUCUUUGUUUAGAGGCCCCAGGCUGGACCAAGGGAGGGAGGAAGUUACACCAUCAGCUCCAUCUGCCUCCCCUAGAGAGACUAGGAGAGACCCUGGUGGGAAAAGGACUAUCAAGCUGUUAGUUGUGGAAGGGUGAAGAAGCUGACUCUGACCUGAGUCCUGCAUCGAGGGGGAAAGCUAAGCACGCAAAGGGUUGAAGGAUUAUUGCACACUUCUGCCUCAGGUGGCUGCAGAAUGGAUUUUGGUUGUUUGGGGAGGACUCUCUAGUCUAGCUGGAAAGCCAUGUUAUUCCAUCACAAGGGAACACACUAGACGACACUGUAGCAAGAGGGAGAUCAGCUACAGCUCGAGACUGAGGCAGCAAGCUCCUUGCAGAAAGGUCUCAUGAUAUUUGAUGUUGAUCCUAAAUACCUGGAUUCUGGAGUCCUGUGAUUACAUGAGAAUCUCAGCUUUCAUUUUUUGAAAGAAGUGACUCUAAGACGUCAUCAGGCUGAUUAAACUUCAUGCUUUGUGAUUUGCGCCGAGACGCUGUCCACCUGUGGAAAAGGGUCACCCCUGCUCCUACUUCAGCAGAAUCAUAUGAUUAGCCAGGCAAGCAAAGGACAUGUCUGACUCUAAGGAGAUGUUAUUAUUCUAGUGCACACGUCUAAUCUCAGCACGAGUCAUUUCAGAGAAAGGGAAAGGAAAUCCACCAUGAAGAUGAAGAGCCUCAGUCACUGCUGCAGAACAUUGUACUGGCUUUGGCCUAGUGGAACUGUGCCUAUGAUUAAUCUUGUCAAGCCCAAACUAGAGUGGCUAAUAAGAAAUCACACCACUUUACUCUUCCCAUCUACCUCUCCUAUUCUACAUGGCCCAUCUGUAAAAGCCAGACUGGCAGGAGGGUUGGGAAAGGGGGAGGUCAGACUGUGCGUCUGCUGGGCUGUACUAGAUUAUUAAAACGUAUCCUGAAACUAAAGACAGAGAUUUGAUAAUCCUUGUCUAAGGGUGAAUGUUCCUUGGCUGGCCUGGGAUUUUUGUGGGGAGGUCAUCCUUUCCGUCACUGAAAAUGUUCACUGCA